UACAGAGGGGGCAAGCGUUAUUCGGAAUUAUUGGGCGUAAAGGGCGCGUAGGCGGCUUUGCAAGUGGCGGGUGAAAUCCCUCGGCUUAACCGAGGAACUGCCUGCCAGACUGUGAGGCUUGAGACCGGGAGAGGUGAGUGGAAUUCCCAGUGUAGCGGUGAAAUGCGUAGAUAUUGGGAGGAACACCAGUGGCGAAGGCGGCUCACUGGACCGGAACUGACGCUGAGGCACGAAAGCGUGGGGAGCAAACAGG
Molecule: ribosomal RNA, 253 nt
Filed under: uncultured bacterium
Lineage: Bacteria
Description: partial 16S ribosomal RNA
Rfam family: Bacterial small subunit ribosomal RNA
Source: RNAcentral